AAGGUUUCCGUAGGUGAACCUGCGGAAGGAUCAUUAUUGAAGUUGAGGGAAGGUUGUUGCUGGUCCUUGAGGGGACAUCUGUGCACGCUUUCCUGUCCACCUCUUCACACCUGUGCACCACUUGUAGGCUGAGAAAUUGGUCUAUGUCCUUUAUUCACACCUCAUUUUUGUUUUGAAUGUACAUCUGCUUGAAAUAAAGCAAAUUAUAAUACAACUUUCAACAACGGAUCUCUUGGCUCUCGCAUCGAUGAAGAACGCAGCGAAAUGCGAUAAGUAAUGUGAAUUGCAGAAUUCAGUGAAUCAUCGAAUCUUUGAACGCACCUUGCGCUCCUUGGAAUUCCGAGGAGCAUGCCUGUUUGAGUGUCAUGAAACCUUCAAACCUCACGACUGUUUGGUCGUUGAAGGCUUUGGAUUGUGGAGUGUGCUGGGGAAGACUCUUUUCCAGCUCCUCUGAAAUGCAUCAGCAAAGUCUCAUCCACAGGAAAAUGCUUAGCUUUUGGUUUGAUAAUCUUUUGUCUAUGCCACUGCUAUUUGCAACUUGCUGGUGAAGAUAUUGCUUUAUACAAGAGAAAUCUUUUAAAUCAAACUUUGACCUCAAAUCAGGUAGGACUACCCGCUGAACUUAAGCAUAUCAAUAAGCGGAGGAAAAGAAACUAACAAGGAUUCCCCUAGUAACUGCGAGUGAAGCGGGAAAAGCUCAAAUUUAAAAUCUGAUAGUCCUUCUGGGCUGUCCGAGUUGUAAUCUAGAGAAGCGCUUCUGUGC
RNAcentral lists this ribosomal RNA (763 nucleotides) under uncultured fungus. RNAcentral's name for it is "eukaryotic LSU rRNA". The stretch from base 213 to 366 matches the Rfam family "5.8S ribosomal RNA". The record is from RNAcentral. Lineage: Eukaryota; Fungi.